GGCCUCCUACGGGACGCAGCAGUGGGGGAUAUUGGACAAUGGGGGAAACCCUGAUCCAGCGACGCCGCGUGAGUGAAGAAGUAUUUCGGUAUGUAAAGCUCUGUCUUUGGGGACGAAAAAGGACGGUACCCAAGGAGGAAGCUCCGGCUAACUACGUGCCAGCAGCCGCGGUAAUACGUAGGGAGCGAGCGUUGUCCGGAAUUACUGGGUGUAAAGGGAGCGUAGGCGGGAUUGCAAGUUGGAUG
RNAcentral lists this ribosomal RNA (245 nucleotides) under uncultured bacterium. Its description in RNAcentral is "partial 16S ribosomal RNA". It matches the Rfam family "Bacterial small subunit ribosomal RNA", at positions 333 to 594 of the family's 1533-position model. The record is from RNAcentral.